UUGGGAGUUGCGGGGCUGCCUCCGGGCGCCCAACCUCCCACCCGUGACUACCUAACACUGUUGCUUCGGCGGGGAGCCCUCUCGGGGGCGAGCCGCCGGGGACUACUGAACUUCAUGCCUGAGAGUGAUGCAGUCUGAGUCUGAAUAUAAAAUCAGUCAAAACUUUCAACAAUGGAUCUCUUGGUUCCGGCAUCGAUGAAGAACGCAGCGAACUGCGAUAAGUAAUGUGAAUUGCAGAAUUCAGUGAAUCAUCGAGUCUUUGAACGCACAUUGCGCCCCCUGGCAUUCCGGGGGGCAUGCCUGUCCGAGCGUCAUUGCUGCCCAUCAAGCCCGGCUUGUGUGUUGGGUCGUCGUCCCCCCCGGGGGACGGGCCCGAAAGGCAGCGGCGGCACCGUGUCCGGUCCUCGAGCGUAUGGGGCUUUGUCACCCGCUCGAUUAGGGCCGGCCGGGCGCCAGCCGACGUCUCCAACCAUUUUCUUCAGGUUGACCUCGGAUCAGGUAGGGAUACCCGCUGAACUUAAGCAUAUCAAUAGGGCGGAGGAAA
Molecule: ribosomal RNA, 544 nt
Filed under: Aspergillus sp. M55
Lineage: Eukaryota; Fungi; Ascomycota; Eurotiomycetes; Eurotiales; Aspergillaceae
Description: eukaryotic LSU rRNA
Rfam family: 5.8S ribosomal RNA (bases 161-314)
Source: RNAcentral